GUGCUCACUUUCGCAGCACAUGUACUAAAAUUGGAACCAUGCGGAAAAGAUUAGCAUGGCCUCUGUGCAAGGAUGACACAUAAAUUGUGAAGCGUUCCAUAUUAAA
Small nuclear RNA from Cavia aperea (Brazilian guinea pig), 106 nucleotides. The record is from Ensembl. Lineage: Eukaryota; Metazoa; Chordata; Mammalia; Rodentia; Caviidae.